This 1126-nucleotide long non-coding RNA is filed under the name Pongo abelii (Sumatran orangutan). RNAcentral describes it as "lincRNA". Lineage: Eukaryota; Metazoa; Chordata; Mammalia; Primates; Hominidae. The record is from RNAcentral.
UCUCCUGCUGCAUUGUGAAGAAACUGCUUGCUUCCCUCUCACCCUCUGCAGUUUCCUGAGGCCUCCCCAGCCAUGCGGAACUGCCAGAUGCAGUGCCUCAUGCCUGUAAUCCCAGCACUUUGGGAGGCUAAGGAGGGAGGAUUUCUUGAGCCUGCUUCCAUAUUGUAAACUGCCUUGGAACCAAUUACCACUACCAGGGAGACAAACUAUUGCUUAGAGGAUGCUGACAGGAGCAGCAUGUCAAAAUUGAAAGAAGGAGGAAGUUUAAGCUCUCCUCACUAUGAGUUUUCAAGUAUAAAAGACUUUUUCUUCCACGAUGUUGAGAACAACUGUGGACUGUUGUGACCAGGACAACAGGGAAGCUUGCAGCAAGAUAGCUCCAGGUUGGAUUCAUGCUUCGCACCCCAAGGGCUGCCAGCCAGAGAGGAGGAGAAGCAAUCACUCCUGCAGUUUCUGAACACUACACAGACGCCAGGUAGCUUCUUCAGGACAACAGCCCUCUGAGGAGGCAGGAAGAGGAGGCUUCUCUUUCAGCAGCCGGAGCUGCUGAGAUCUCUGGGCAGAUUAAGCUCUCUCUAAUGGAUGGGCUCCAGCCUGGCACACUCAGUGGAGAGGGAUCCACUCGUCCAUCAUCAACACAAUAUGGUCCUCCCUUCACUUCACAGAGUCCUCUUGCUAUUGAAAAGGCUUUUUUGCCUUCUCAAGUUUCUUUGUCAACAGUCUACAGGAAGAAGCUCAGGCCGCCACCGGCAGAGGUGAAUGCAAGCUCACGUUUUAUUUCUGACUGCUUAAUCAUUGCCUCGAUCACUGCUCAAGCUCUGCCUUUGUUUCCAAAGGUUACAUGUGGGAAAACUUCUUUUUCUAUGCUGAAAUUAAUAGGGAGGCAAAGAUGAGUCCACUGAUAAGCAGAGCCUUAAAACUCACAUAGAGAAAGAACUUUGCUGGAGUGUGUGUGAGUGAGCCACAAAGGAAUCAGAUAGUGUGAUGGCAGUUAUCAUUGCAGGUUAAGACACUUCUACAAAUAUUUCAACACCUCCAUAUACUCACUCCUCUCCCCCUGAGUCAAGAGACUCAGCUACCAAGAGAGGAAGCUCUAAAAAAACAGAAGCCUCAAACAAACAAACAA